GACGAACGCUGGCGGCGUGCUUAACACAUGCAAGUCGAACGGAGAGGCCCUGCUUUUGUUGGGUGCUCGAGUUGCGAACGGGUGAGUAACACGUGAGUAACCUGCCCUUUACUUUGGGAUAACUUCAGGAAACUGGGGCUAAUACCGCAUAGGAGCUCCUGCUGCAUGGUGGUGGUUGGAAAGUUUCGGCGGUUUGGGAUGGACUCGCGGCUGAUCAGCUUGUUGGUGGGGUAGUGGCUUCCCAAGGCCUGGGCGGGGAGCCGGCCUGGGAGGGUGACCGGCCACAGUGGGACUGAGAUACGGCCCAGACUCAUACGGGAGGAAGCAGUGGGGAACAGUGCACAAUGGGCGGAAGCCUGAAGGAGCAACGCCGGGUGCGGGAUGACGGCCGUCGGGUUGUAAACCGCUUUCGCCUGGGACGAAGCGUGAGUGACGGUAAUGGGUAAAGAAGCACCGGCUAACUACGUG
This 468-nucleotide ribosomal RNA is filed under the name uncultured bacterium. RNAcentral's name for it is "partial 16S ribosomal RNA". It matches the Rfam family "Bacterial small subunit ribosomal RNA", at positions 28 to 507 of the family's 1533-position model. The record is from RNAcentral.